This 25-nucleotide non-coding RNA is filed under the name Cricetulus griseus (Chinese hamster). Lineage: Eukaryota; Metazoa; Chordata; Mammalia; Rodentia; Cricetidae. The record is from RNAcentral.
UGCACACUGUUGCCUACAUACUUUG